RNAcentral lists this unclassified non-coding RNA (343 nucleotides) under Klebsiella pneumoniae subsp. pneumoniae. RNAcentral describes it as "partial 16S-23S ribosomal RNA intergenic spacer". The stretch from base 239 to 336 matches the Rfam family "Salmonella enterica Typhi npcRNA 44". The record is from RNAcentral. Lineage: Bacteria; Pseudomonadati; Pseudomonadota; Gammaproteobacteria; Enterobacterales; Enterobacteriaceae.
CCUUAAAGAACCUGCCUUUGUAGUGCUCACACAGAUUGUCUGAUGAACGUAAAGAAGCAAGGCGUCUUGCGAUUGAGACUUCAGUGUCCCCUUCGUCUAGAGGCCCAGGACACCGCCCUUUCACGGCGGUAACAGGGGUUCGAAUCCCCUAGGGGACGCCACUUGCUGGUUCGUGAGUGAAAGACGCGUGCCGAUGUAUCUCAAAACUCAUCUUCGGGUGAUGUUUGAGAUAUUUGCUCUUUAAAAAUCUGGAUCAAGCUGAAAAUUGAAACGACACACAGUUAAUGUGUGUUCGAGUCUCUCAAAUUUUCGCAAUCAGAAGUGAAACAUCUUCGGGUUGUGA